RNAcentral lists this ribosomal RNA (287 nucleotides) under uncultured bacterium. RNAcentral's name for it is "partial 16S ribosomal RNA". It matches the Rfam family "Bacterial small subunit ribosomal RNA", at positions 336 to 637 of the family's 1533-position model. The record is from RNAcentral.
UUCCUACGGGACGCAGCAGUGGGGAAUAUUGGGCAAUGGGCGCAAGCCUGACCCAGCAACGCCGCGUGAAGGAAGAAGGCUUUCGGGUUGUAAACUUCUUUUAAGAGGGACGAAACAAAUGACGGUACCUCUUGAAUAAGCUCCGGCUAACUACGUGCCAGCAGCCGCGGUAAUACGUAGGGAGCGAGCGUUAUCCGGAUUUACUGGGUGUAAAGGGCGUGUAGGCGGGAUGGCAAGUCAUGCGUGAAAACUAUGGGCUCAACCCCUAGCCUGCGUUUGAAACUGUC